Molecule: ribosomal RNA, 999 nt
Filed under: Ascotricha sp. OUCMBI110118
Lineage: Eukaryota; Fungi; Ascomycota; Sordariomycetes; Xylariales; Xylariaceae
Description: SSU rRNA
Rfam family: Eukaryotic small subunit ribosomal RNA
Source: RNAcentral
UGAUAGUACCUUACUACUUGGAUAACCGUGGUAAUUCUAGAGCUAAUACAUGCUUAAAACCCCGACUCACGGAGGGGUGUAUUUAUUAGAUUAAAAACCAAUGCCCUUCGGGGCUUUUUGGUGAUUCAUAAUAACUUCUCGAAUCGCAUGGCCUUGUGCCGGCGAUGGUUCAUUCAAAUUUCUGCCCUAUCAACUUUCGAUGGCAGGGUCUUGGCCUGCCAUGGUUACAACGGGUAACGGAGGGUUAGGGCUCGACCCCGGAGAAGGAGCCUGAGAAACGGCUACUACAUCCAAGGAAGGCAGCAGGCGCGCAAAUUACCCAAUCCCGAUACGGGGAGGUAGUGACAAUAAAUACUGAUACAGGGCUCUUUUGGGUCUUGUAAUUGGAAUGAGUACAAUUUAAAUCCCUUAACGAGGAACAAUUGGAGGGCAAGUCUGGUGCCAGCAGCCGCGGUAAUUCCAGCUCCAAUAGCGUAUAUUAAAGUUGUUGCAGUUAAAAAGCUCGUAGUUGAACCUUGGGCCUGGCUGGCCGGUCCGCCUCACCGCGUGCACUGGUUCGGCCGGGCCUUUCCCUCUGGGGAAUCCCAUGCCCUUCACUGGGUGUGGCGAGGAACCAGGACUUUUACUGUGAAAAAAUUAGAGUGUUCAAAGCAGGCCUAUGCUCGAAUACAUUAGCAUGGAAUAAUAGAAUAGGACGUGUGGUUCUAUUUUGUUGGUUUCUAGGACCGCCGUAAUGAUUAAUAGGGACAGUCGGGGGCAUCAGUAUUCAAUUGUCAGAGGUGAAAUUCUUGGAUUUAUUGAAGACUAACUACUGCGAAAGCAUUUGCCAAGGAUGUUUUCAUUAAUCAGGAACGAAAGUUAGGGGAUCGAAGACGAUCAGAUACCGUCGUAGUCUUAACCAUAAACUAUGCCGACUAGGGAUCGGACGAUGUUAUUUUUUGACUCGUUCGGCACCUUACGAGAAAUCAAAGUUUUUGGGUCCGGGGGGAGUAAUGGCCA